RNAcentral lists this ribosomal RNA (460 nucleotides) under uncultured bacterium. RNAcentral's name for it is "partial 16S ribosomal RNA". It matches the Rfam family "Bacterial small subunit ribosomal RNA", at positions 338 to 795 of the family's 1533-position model. The record is from RNAcentral.
CCUACGGGUGGCUGCAGUGAGGAAUAUUGGUCAAUGGGCGCGAGCCUGAACCAGCCAAGUCGCGUGAGGGAGGACGGCCCUACGGGUUGUAAACCUCUUUUGCCGGGGCGCAACGGGCGCCACGUGUGGCGUCACUGAGAGUACCCGGAGAAAAAGCAUCGGCUAACUCCGUGCCAGCAGCCGCGGUAAUACGGAGGAUGCGAGGGUUAUCCGGAUUUAUUGGGUUUAAAGGGUGCGGAGGCGGAUCGUUAAGUCAGUGGUCAAAUGUAGGGGCUAAACCCCUUCCCGCCAUUGAAACUGGCAGUCUUGAGUACAGUAGAGGUGGGCGGAAUUCGUGGUGUAGCGGUGAAAUGCUUAGAUAUCACGAAGAACUCCGAUUGCGAAGGCAGUUCACUGGACUGCAACUGACACUGAGGCUCGAAAGUGUGGGUAUCAAACAGGAGUAGAUACCCGAGUAGUC